GAGGUUAUAGGUCAAGUAGUAGAGCACAUGCUUAGCACACAUGAGUUCCUGGGUUCAAUCCCCAGUACCUCCU
Camelus ferus (Wild Bactrian camel) is the source of this 73-nucleotide non-coding RNA. Lineage: Eukaryota; Metazoa; Chordata; Mammalia; Artiodactyla; Camelidae. The record is from Rfam.